GAGUAGCACAGCGGUAGUGCAAUCGGCUGUUAACCGAUCGGUCGCAGGUUCGAAUCCUGCCUC
Molecule: transfer RNA, 63 nt
Filed under: bovine gut metagenome
Rfam family: tRNA
About the family: Transfer RNA (tRNA) molecules are approximately 80 nucleotides in length. Their secondary structure includes four short double-helical elements and three loops (D, anti-codon, and T loops).
Source: RNAcentral